RNAcentral lists this ribosomal RNA (406 nucleotides) under uncultured bacterium. Its description in RNAcentral is "partial 16S ribosomal RNA". It matches the Rfam family "Bacterial small subunit ribosomal RNA", at positions 30 to 526 of the family's 1533-position model. The record is from RNAcentral.
AUUGAACGCUGGCGGCAGGCCUAACACAUGCAAGUCGGACGAGUGGCGAAGGGGAGAGUAAUGUAUGGGACUGUACCGUAUAGUGGGGGAUCACUGUCCGAAAGGAGAGCUAAUACCGCAUAUUCUGCGAAAGGCCGAUGUCUGAUUAGCUGAGUGGAGGGGUAAAGGCACACCAAGGCGACGAUCAGUAGCGGGUCUGAGAGGAUGAUCCGCCACACUGGGACUGAGACACGGCCCAGACUCCUACGGGAGGCAGCAGUGGGGAAUAUUGGACAAUGGGCGCAAGCCUGAUCCAGCCAUGCCGCGUGUCUGAAGAAGGCCUUCGGGUUGUAAAGGACUUUUGGCAGGGAAGCGGUACCUGAAGAAUAAGCACCGGCUAACUCCGUGCCAGCAGCCGCGGUAAUAC